Canis lupus familiaris (dog) is the source of this 522-nucleotide long non-coding RNA. RefSeq lists it as uncharacterized. The record is from RefSeq and is a predicted model, not a curated record. NCBI's taxonomy places the organism in Eukaryota, Metazoa, Chordata, Mammalia, Carnivora, Canidae. The transcript is spliced from 2 exons.
GUAAGGAUGGCCCAGGACUCAUGACCAGCAUCUGAAGUGGGGGUCAUCUUGUGCGAUGGAGCCUCUAGCCUGCGGGGUCUGACUCUAAUUCUGGCUAAAUAGUGUCAGAAUUGGAUUGAACUGUCGGACACCCAGUUGAGGAUUUGAGAACUGUAGAGACUCUGGUUGGCUGGAAGCACCGGAACACAUGAUGAACAGUGACUUAAGCUCCUGUCAUAAGAAGCUGAUUGAUCUUGAACUUGAUUCAGCCCAUUGAUAUCGUCACUACUGAUAAAAGGCCUCAAGACAAUCGAUGUGAAAUCUGAAGCAACCGAGAUGAGCAAACAUUUUCAAAGAAGCAUACCUUCUGCAGAGGCUGCUCGGACUUCCAGGGUAUUUGGCACGAAGGAAGAGGCCACAGAAGGAGCUAAAAAUAAAGCCUGCAGUUCACAGAGUUAGCCUGUGGCCGUUUCAUGAGUUAGAAGUGCUUUGGUGGGAGUGGGAGCGAAGCAAUAAAAGAAGAUGAGAUUGAAAAUUCACUCA